CUGCAUGGUGCUAACCCCGGGCUUGUCGGAUUUACUACUUGAAGAAGGAAGCCCCAAUGCCUGUGCUAGAUCCACCAUGCCAUUCAGUGUUGCAGGCCCUGAUGAAUCUUGUGAUUGGUCUGUGUCAAAGCAAUGGAUACAUAU
This 144-nucleotide small nucleolar RNA is filed under the name Sorghum bicolor (sorghum). RNAcentral's name for it is "snoRNA snoR134". It matches the Rfam family "small nucleolar RNA snoR134". The record is from Rfam by way of RNAcentral. Lineage: Eukaryota; Viridiplantae; Streptophyta; Magnoliopsida; Poales; Poaceae.